Long non-coding RNA from Oncorhynchus keta (chum salmon), 1229 nucleotides. RefSeq lists it as uncharacterized. The record is from RefSeq and is a predicted model, not a curated record. The transcript has 6 exons. NCBI's taxonomy places the organism in Eukaryota, Metazoa, Chordata, Actinopteri, Salmoniformes, Salmonidae.
UGGUGCUUUGUAUUCUGGAAGGGUUUGAAGUGUUCUAUGAUGGUGCUUUGUAUUCUGGAAGGUUUUGAAGUGUUCUAUGAUGGUGCUUUGUAUUCUGGAAGGGUUUGAAGUGUUCUAUGAUGGUGCUUUGUAUUCUGGAAGGUUUUGAAGUGUUCUAUGACGGUGCUUUGUAUUCUGGAAGGUUUUGAAGUGUUCUAUGACGGUGCUUUGUAUUCUGGAAGGUUUUGAAGUGUUCUAUGAUGGUGCUUUGUAUUCUGGAAGGGUUUGAAGUGUUCUAUGAAGGUGCUUUGUAUUCUGGAAGGGUUUGAAGUGUUCUAUGAUGGUGCUUUGUAUUCUGGAAGGUUUUGAAGUGUUCUAUGAUGGUGCUUUGUAUUCUGGAAGGGUUUGAAGUGUUCUAUGAUGGUGCUUUGUAUUCUGGAAGGGUUUGAAGUGUUCUAUGAUGGUGCUUUGUAUUCUGGAAGGUUUUGAAGUGUUCUAUGAUGGUGCUUUGUAUUCUGGAAGGGUUUGAAGUGUUCUAUGAUGGUGCUUUGUAUUCUGGAAGGUUUUGAAGUGUUCUAUGAUGGUGCUUUGUAUUCUGGAAGGUUUUGAAGUGUUCUAUGAAGGUGCUUUGUAUUCUGGAAGGGUUUGAAGUGUUCUAUGACGGUGCUUUGUAUUCUGGAAGGUUUUGAAGUGUUCUAUGACGGUGCUUUGUAUUCUGGAAGGUUUUGAAGUGUUCUAUGAUGGUGCUUUGUAUUCUGGAAGGGUUUGAAGUGUUCUAUGAUGGUGCUUUGUAUUCUGGAAGGUUUUGAAGUGUUCUAUGAUGGUGCUUUGUAUUCUGGAAGGGUUUGAAGUGUUCUAUGAUGGUGCUUUGUAUUCUGGAAGGUUUUGAAGUGUUCUAUGACGGUGCUUUGUAUUCUGGAAGGGUUUGAAGUGUUCUAUGACGGUGCUUUGUAUUCUGGAAGGUUUUGAAGUGUUCUAUGAUGGUGCUUUGUAUUCUGGAAGGUUUUGAAGUGUUCUAUGAUGGUGCUUUGUAUUCUGGAAGGUUUUGAAGUGUUCUAUGACGGUGCUUUGUAUUCUGGAAGGUUUUGAAGUGUUCUAUGACGGUGCUUUGUAUUCUGGAAGGGUUUGAAGUGUUCUAUGAAGGUGCUUUGUAUUCUGGAAGGGUUUGAAGUGUUCUAUGAUGGUGCUUUGUAUUCUGGAAGGUUUUGAAGUGUUCUAUGAUGGUGCUUUGUAUUCUGGAAGGUUUUGAA